Acanthosepion pharaonis is the source of this 112-nucleotide non-coding RNA. NCBI's taxonomy places the organism in Eukaryota, Metazoa, Mollusca, Cephalopoda, Sepiida, Sepiidae. The record is from the annotation of a GenBank genome assembly.
UACGGUUAUAUGACGUUGAAACAUUGGUUCCCAUACGAUCACCGAAGUUAAGCAACGCAGAGCCUGGUCAGUACCUAGAUGUGUAACCGCUUGAGCAUACCAGAUGCUGUAA